AGAGUUUGAUCCUGGCUCAGAACGAACGCUGGCGGCGUGCUUAACACAUGCAAGUCGAACGCGAAAUUUUUCUUCGGAAAGAAAGUAGAGUGGCGCACGGGUGAGUAACGCGUAAGUUAUCUACCUCGGCAUCUGGAAUAACUCACCGAAAGGUGUGCUAAUACCGGAUACGUUGAGUAAUCAAGAAAGGUGGCCUCUGAAUAUGCUACUGUGCUGAGAUGAGCUUGCGUACCAUUAGCUAGUUGGUAGGGUAAAGGCCUACCAAGGCGACGAUGGUUAGCGGGUCUGAGAGGAUGAUCCGCCACACUGGAACUGGAACACGGACCAGACUCCUACGGGAGGCAGCAGUGAGGAAUAUUGCGCAAUGGGGGCAACCCUGACGCAGCGACGCCGCGUGGAUGAUGAAGGCCUUCGGGUCGUAAAAUCCUGUCAAGUGGAAAGAAGUGCAUAGUGGUUAAUACCUGCUAUGUUUGACGGUACCACUGAAGGAAGCACCGGCUAACUCCGUGCCAGCAGCCGCGGUAAUACGGAGGGUGCAAGCGUUGUUCGGAUUUACUGGGCGUAAAGGGCGCGUAGGCGGUUUUAUAAGCCAGAUGUGAAAGCCCACGGCUCAACCGUGGAAGUGCAUCUGGAACUGUAAGACUUGAGUAUGGGAGAGGAAAGUGGAAUUCCCGGUGUAGAGGUGAAAUUCGUAGAUAUCGGGAGGAAUACCGGUGGCGAAGGCGACUUUCUGGACCAAUACUGACGCUGAGGCGCGAAAGCGUGGGUAGCAAACAGGAUUAGAUACCCUGGUAGUCC
RNAcentral lists this ribosomal RNA (798 nucleotides) under uncultured bacterium. Its description in RNAcentral is "bacterial SSU rRNA". It matches the Rfam family "Bacterial small subunit ribosomal RNA", at positions 8 to 796 of the family's 1533-position model. The record is from RNAcentral.